GAUGAACGCUGGCGGCGUGCCUAAUACAUGCAAGUCGAGCGAACGGACGAGAAGCUUGCUUUUCUGAUGUUAGCGGCGGACGGGUGAGUAACACGUGGAUAACCUACCUAUAAGACUGGGAUAACUUCGGGAAACCGGAGCUAAUACCGGUUAAUAUUUUGAACCGCAUGGUUCAAUAUUGAAAGACGGUUUUGCUGUCACUUAUAGAUGGAUCCGCGCUGCAUUAGCUAGUUGGUAAGGUAACGGCUUACCAAGGCAACGAUGCAUAGCCGACCUGAGAGGGUGAUCGGCCACACUGGAACUGAGACACGGUCCAGACUCCUACGGGAGGCAGCAGUAGGGAAUCUUCCGCAAUGGGCGAAAGCCUGACGGAGCAACGCCGCGUGAGUGAUGAAGGUCUUCGGAUCGUAAAACUCUGUUAUUAGGGAAGAACAUAUGUGUAAGUAACUGUGCACAUCUUGACGGUACCUAAUCAGAAAGCCACGGCUAACUACGUG
This 497-nucleotide ribosomal RNA is filed under the name uncultured bacterium. RNAcentral describes it as "partial 16S ribosomal RNA". It matches the Rfam family "Bacterial small subunit ribosomal RNA", at positions 28 to 507 of the family's 1533-position model. The record is from RNAcentral.